This is a non-coding RNA of Pelobates cultripes (western spadefoot toad), 227 nucleotides long. The record is from the annotation of a GenBank genome assembly. Lineage: Eukaryota; Metazoa; Chordata; Amphibia; Anura; Pelobatidae.
CUCCAACCUUCUAGCCAUCCUAUCCCCCAGCACUGCAGACCCUCUCCCGUUUAGGUGCAAUCCAUCACCACUAUAAAGGUUGUACCCAAUCGCAAAGUCGGCCCAGUGCUCUAAAAACCAAAACCCUCCUUCCUGCACCAAGACUUAAGCCACGCAUUAACCUCUCUAAUCUCCCGCUGCCUUUCCACUGUAGCGCGUGGCACAGGUAAUAUCUCAGAAAAUACCAC